This 1042-nucleotide long non-coding RNA is filed under the name Equus asinus (donkey). RNAcentral describes it as "lncRNA (ENSEASG00005024041.1)". Lineage: Eukaryota; Metazoa; Chordata; Mammalia; Perissodactyla; Equidae. The record is from RNAcentral.
GACCUGCGCUCGGAUGCGCUCUUCCUUAACUGCCAGAACCUGGGGAAGGGGACUCUGAUUAAAAUACCCCUAAGAAUUGACAAGGGUGAAAAAUUCCCUUUGCUGGCAUGCAUUCAUUUAACCAAUGUAUUUCUUGAGCGCUCGCUGUGUGCCGACAGCGACAGGACACAAAUGAAAGGACGUGAUUCUCUUCGAGACGGUCAUGUGAGCCUGAACGUUUUACUUCCACAUUCUACCCACCCAUCCUGAAACGAACGUUUCCACUGCAAUUACCCAGAAACACACAGGGAAAGGAAAUGCAGCAUGAACCCCGGAAGGCAGGACGGGGUGGGAUCCUUUUCUCCAGGAGAAAGGGCAGAUGCGGCUGGACUGGAGGAGGGAGGACUCCCCUGGGAUUUCCCAUAUGCGAAGAAAUCCCAAAAGAACACAUUACCAAGACUGAGGAAAACAAGAGCAAUUUCUCAUGACUCCAAGACAGACACCUGAGUGCUCUUCCUGCCGGACCUAGGUUGCUGAUUUUUGAACCCCAUUGCUGAGGGAACAGGAAAGGGUAAAAUGGAGCUUAAAUCUCAGGGUUUAUUUCACUUUGCACAGAGUGUGAAUUUCAGAGGAACUUACAGUUUGGCUAGAGGUUUGGGGGUUUUCCCGUUUUUUUCUCUCUUGAAGCCAAGGUGAAAUCAAGCCUUCCAUUUUUGUUCUAUAAAAAUCUCCCCCACAAACAUGCAGGAGGGGAAUGUUAAGGGCAGGUAUUAGUGUCGAUCAUGCCAGGAAUGGAAACCCAAACACAAAAGCACCUUUGUUUCCCAAAUUGGCAUGUCUUUUAAGCUCGACUGCAAUUUAUGCACUGCAGGAAGGGGAAGUUAAAACGAUGCUUUUUCAACAAGUUUUAUGUGGAGUGUGUAAUAGUAAAUGAAUACAGAAGGCACACUAUCACAGCGGGAGGUUAAUCUCAUAGAGAAUAAAUAAAACCAUUGAACUGUCAAGUACAACAAAUAAUGUGUUUGGGAGGCUUCAGGAUUAUUAAAGCUGAUUUUAUACCAAC